AAUUGCCUGUUUAUUUAGUGGCACCAGUUUUGCAAACUAGAAAUUAUUUCUACUUUUCAUCUAACAUACAAUCUGCAACCAUUAGCAGGCUGAAUGCAAUUUUUCAAUGAACUUGAAAAUAAACAGUACAUUCUUAAAGUUAGAACUGAAUUCACAUAUUUUCUUUGGACCAGGAAAUAAUACAUAAUACAAAAUAUACAUUUAUGGAAUUUCUUUAAAAGUGUGGAUCACAUAAACUGCAAAGUGGGUGAGUUGCUAUGAAGAAUUUUGUUACACACUGUAGUUAAGAAAAAUAUUUCUGCAAUUAUAUUAGUCUUAACAUUUAUAGAGUUUAAAAAAUGAAUCUCUAUAUAAUGCAACAUGCUUUUAACAUGUACAUGUCUCUCCACUCAUAACGUUUAUACAAAUUAAGUGAUAUAACUCAUUUCAAGAGUGAAAUCAAUCAGUAUUGGGGCAUAUCACUACAAACAAGGUACUUUCCUGCAGAUAUGCUAUUUAGUCAAGGGAUAACCAGGUAAGACAAUGGUUUCUAUGUUCCAGAAGUCCCACAAAUGCCAAUAAGCUGUAAUUAAACAUCUGAUUUUGGCAACAAAUGCAAAAUUCUGUUUGUUACAUUGUACUUAACUAUAUUUUAGGAAUCUCAUUAACUCUGUGCAUUGGUGGUGGUUGUCUGUGUUGGAUGUUAUUUUAACAUCCUGAAUUAGUACGUAAAUAACCUAAUUCCUUAGAAUAUGAAAUGAAUUAAACAUUUAAUGAAUUCUAAUACUAGAAAGCUCAAAACCUUACAACCUGGAGAUCUGACAGGUAAAUGUAUUACUUGUUAACAUAGUAUAUCUGCACUAUGAAGGCCAAAAAUGUUCCAGAUACAUUCAAUUUCUGUUUUCUCUCUUUCCUAUUGAAUUUCUAAAGUGGCAAAUCUUAGAGAAAGACAUUAAUCUCCAAAACUUCUGAAUACUAUGUUUUUUUCACCUUUUAAUCACUCUCCCCCCAAAUAUAGUAUUUUUUAAAAAGUGUAUUUUAAUGUCAGAUUCUAGCCAGGCCCUCCAUCUACCUCUAGAGUGAAACAAUUCCUUAAAAUACACUCAAGUUAUUUUCAUGCCCUUGAAAUAUAUUUUUGGGCUUUGCAGGAAAAGGGAUGAUGCCCUACUGUACUUCAGAAUGGGCUCUUAACCAUGGGGUCCAUGAACCACUACAAUAUUGUAAACUUUAGUGAGAUAUGUAUGUUAUAUAUGCAUUUUCCUGGGUAAAGGAGUCCCUAGGAUUCAUCAGUCUCACAAGGCCUGUGACCCCAAAAGAAGCAUUGCUAAAAUGAUUUUGUGUCAUUCACUGUACCUAAUUAGGAUAUAACUAAUUUUGUUCCGCAGCUACCCAAUCUCUUACAUCAAUUUAACUUACUUUAGAUAAUACCAUACAAAUGCACGUUACUAAAUAGUCUUAUACUGGAUCAGGAGGACUAUAUAAAAGAAAAAGAAAAACUCUAAACAAUUUUUCUAAACAUUUAGUUUAAUGAGAAAACAAUUAGUUGAAAACUGGGUUUUGGAGCAAUGAAAAGAAAUGAAGGGUUGGGUUUUCUAGUGAAGAAAUAUUGUAUUAAUUCUUCUCAGUUGUUUCUAUGACGAAGAAUCAGUAACUCUUAUUAAUUUCCUUGCUGGAAAAAUCAAAUUUUCUGAAGCAGCAAAGGUUGAUUCUUGUUGGUUUAUGUGACACAAUCAUUCUUAUAAAUUUACAGCCAGGUACAAGGAAGACUUUCCUAUGGCUUUUAAAACAAUUAAGAGUAAUCCUUCCCUAGCUAUCCCACUGCCAUUUCCCCAUUCCUCCAUCUCCCAAGUUUUCUCAUUUUCAGCCCAGUUUAACACAGUAUUAGCUGGCCUUGAUGAAGUAACACACUAAGCUUUCUUGCUCAAGAAAAUGGAAUUGUCCUGUUUCUGUUUGAAAAAAAGAGAAAACACCAAGAGGAAAGUAGAGGAAACGAGGGCAAUAUUUCGUGCAGGAUAAGGAAGAAAAAAAGUCAACAUUAUCAACUUAAACAAUCCUUUUUCUCCAUCUCAUAAAAAUAUAAGUUGUCAACUGCAAUUUCAAUACCAUUAUAAGUUUUUCUAAUUAGCACUCCUAUCUGCUAGUAAUAUAAAUAGGAAAACAGUGAGAGCAGAAGCCACUAUCUUAAUAUACAGAACAACUGAAAGGGAAAGAACCUGUGAACAAAAUUACAAAAUGUUCAUUUGACAAUGAACUGGAACCAAUGCCUCUCAUCAUUUCUAUUGAGCGUUUUGACUAUCAGUAAUAACUAACAUUUAACUGAGACUUAUUAUUUUGAUCAACAAAACAAUACAGUAUUAUACAUUUUGAAAAUGUAUUCUUAAAUAUUUCAAGCAUAUUCCAAGGUAAUAUACAAUUUAAAACAUAUAUAAACCAAAACACAUGGCACAUAAUUGAAGGAAGUAACACCAAAUUAGGCUUCUAAAAUUUUGAACUCUUAAGAAGGCUUCCUAAUGCCUAAAAGAAAAACUAGAAGACUAGAUACUGAAAAAAUUGUAAUCUCACUAGCAGUAUCUGUGAGCAAAAGUAUAUAAAACUCUUUAAGGUCCCUUAGAAGAAAAACCUCAAAUGAGAAACAAUUAUAUACUAAGAUAUUUACACAUAUUUUCUAAUACGAAAUCCUAAUACUGUACAAACAGCCAAGUUUGAACUAAAAGUAUAUACCAUGAAAUUCAAAAUUAAAAUAAAACAAAAAAUGGAGAAAAAAAGCAGUACCCAAUUUCAUCAGUUCUUUCAGAAAUCACAAGUUGAACUCCAAAUGAGUUUGUCCAGUAAAGAUGGGCAGUGAAAUUAUUUUAAAAUAUUAAAACAUAGUAAUAAUUUGGCUAAAAUUUGACAUUAACACUGGCAGUGUGUUACAAAAACACAGAGUUCUACCUAAAUUUAGCUAGAGAUAUUUACAUUUUUAAAUGCCUUAAACUCAAACCCCACCUACAUUUCCAUGGCUGGAGAAUUUUCAGAAAUCUAUUACCUAUUCCUCUGAGUUACUGCUGUCAGCAGGAAGAAUAAAGGCCAUUCGAUAAAUGCAAUCAAGCAUACUGAAUGGGCUUAAGCCUCUUCAAUCCAAUUUUAUUCUUAUGCUAAGCAAAAUUUUCUUCUGAAUGAUUUUUAACUUUGGAGAGAAGAAAAUAAACUGGAGAAGAGUUUUCAGGUGAGUAAAGGAAGUUUAUAAACAAGCUCUUUAGGGCAGAGGCCUGCCUUGAUUAGCUAAGUACCUGGUCGAUAACGGGUGGGCAAUAGCUUUUUUUUUUUUGAUGAGUGAUCCAGUUAUAAUACUAACAUACACUAGAUUAUAAAUUGUCCAAAUGUAAACUUGAAGCC
This is a long non-coding RNA of Macaca fascicularis (crab-eating macaque), 3357 nucleotides long. The record is from Ensembl. Lineage: Eukaryota; Metazoa; Chordata; Mammalia; Primates; Cercopithecidae.